Molecule: long non-coding RNA, 636 nt
Organism: Poecilia latipinna (sailfin molly)
Lineage: Eukaryota; Metazoa; Chordata; Actinopteri; Cyprinodontiformes; Poeciliidae
Exons: 3
Source: RefSeq, a predicted model, not a curated record
GGAGCACUGAAAUCACAAUGUAAUCCUAAUGUGAGAGGGAAAAAACAACAAAACGACUAAUUAUUAAUGCUUAGACGAAUGCUUAAUCAGACAUAUUAAUAAUUUUAUUAGCUGCAGCUGCGUUUAACCAAUUGUAGGAUUAAAAGGGGGAGCGGUUAAUGGAACGCAGAGCAGGAGAUGCACAGAGGAGGAGUGACAAGGGCAGACUGCUGCUGCCGACGGGUGCCAGAGACUUCCUGCACCUGCCUAAAAAUGUGCCAUUACAAGGAGAGCUUUUCUGAGACGUUGUCCAGCUGUCAAAAGAUGGAAGGUCAGAGGUCGUUCUCAGCGACAGCAGAUGAUGGGCUGUUGGAGAGAAGCAGCACACACCUGCAUGACAAUUACCAGCCAGACUUCCAUACAUCUGCAGACCUGAAGAGUGUGUCUGACUGGCCUAGAUUCACAGUCCGUCUUCUGGGGUUUAUGAAUGGGUUUACUUCCAUGCUAGACAGAGAUGCGACGGUAAAACAGUAAGACAGAUGCACAGGUACCCGUUCUUUGCAUUUUUAAAUCAUAGAAGCAUCAUUAAAGAAUUUCUAGAUGACUGAAUCGCACUAACCCAGAUCAAUGCCGGGGUGAAGUUCAACAGAGACGGAA